CAGCCAAUGAGUUUGAGGCGUUGGUUUUGUAUGACGUGAAUCCUAUCAACCAAUCAGAAAUAGCGCGGGCGAAAUGAAAAAAGAAAAACGCGAUUGGAAAUGGAUGGUUAAUAAAAUUCAGAAUAUUGCAAAACAAGGACAGUGUACAGCGUGUUUAAAUCUUCCAGAAAUGCAGCUGUGCCCUCUUUACAGCAAUUAUAGAUGAAGCAAAGUAUGACAGCAAGUAAUAUAGAUAUACACACAUGCCGAAGAAGAUUGUAAUAUCUGGAGAAAACAUUUCCUACGUCACGAAAUAGACACCGUCACACUGGUCUACGUAUCAUUCCUAUAGAUGAUUGAUAUAUUUAACUGCUUUUAAGAACAGUGUUUGAAUGACGAAUUUCUGUGAAUACGGAUUUUUAAUUUUAAUGAUUAUUAUUAAAACUUUCUGUUAUUAUCAAUUUGUGCUAUGGACUCAUUUUCCUAAAAUAAUAAUUAUGUGAAUGUUAACACGAAUAAAUGAUAUGAAUAUCUUUAAAAUGUUUUAUGGG
This is a long non-coding RNA of Ruditapes philippinarum (Manila clam), 530 nucleotides long. RefSeq lists it as uncharacterized. The transcript is spliced from 3 exons. The record is from RefSeq and is a predicted model, not a curated record. NCBI's taxonomy places the organism in Eukaryota, Metazoa, Mollusca, Bivalvia, Venerida, Veneridae.